GCCGCGAAGAGACAGAAGAGGCCAAGCGGAGAGGCUAGUCUUGGACUACAGCUCCCGUCAUCCGCGCGCGCAACCUGAUGCGGCUGAGGGCGAUGGGAGUUGCAGUCCAGGCGUCUCCGGUUACCCCGCCACCCGUGGAGAUAGAUGGAGGAGAAGGACUAUUUGUGUCUGUGCUGGGGCUGGUGGGAGGUGUGGUCCAACAUGCCUCCGGUUGGACGCCCAUCAUGUUGUAGAGUUUUAGGGCUGGCUUGGAGGGGGCCGUGGGGGGGGGGGGGGGUCCUAACCUCGCUGCUCAGAGCAGGGAUCCGCUACAGCAGGGGUGUGGGGGGCAAUUGGGACCUCUUGGUGAGUCUCUCUAGGUAAUUUGAAGCGGGUAAGCAUUGCCCGGUUUCUGAUUGCUAGUUGCUUUUCAGCAGCAGCGACUUCCCCGUCCACAAAAAUGUCGGCUGCCGAAACGAAGAACGCUUUGGGGAAACCAGGAGCGGAUGUUCAUGUGCCAGGACCGUGAGCAUAAUCAAUUCCAGGGGAAAUUAAAAAUAAAAAUCUUGGACUGACUGAGCCGUUGCACCUUGUUCUAAGUGUAUGCCUACCUCCCAGGCCAGGAGUGGCCCUUCCAUGAUUAUUAUUUAUGUAUUUAAAAUAUUUAUACCCCACCCCUCCAGUGCAAUACUGCUCGGGUCGGCUUACAACUGUAACAUAGACACAGAUACAAGUAAUAAUUUUUUUUUAAAGUCAGAUUAAAAACAAUUAUUAGGUUCAAAUUAAAACUGAAAAUUAUAAAAAGCUAAAGAAAAGAACCUACCAGAUAUAACCAAAUAAUGAUAUUAAAAAGCCUCCUUGAAAAGGUAUGUUUUAAGAUGUUUUUUUAAAAACACUGAGUGGGGGAGCAUGCCAAACCUCUUCAGGGAGGGCCUUCCAAAGCCGAAAGGCCACAACCGAAAAGGCCCUGUCUCUAGUUCCUGCCAGCCAGAUCUCUGUUAGUGGCGGGGUCAUGAGCAGGGCCUGAGAUGAUGAUCGGAGGCCCCUGGCAGAUUCAUAUGGGUGAAUGCGGUCCAACAGAUACCCCGGCCCCAAGCUGUGUAGGGCGAGGUAGUUGCCUCAAGUAUGGGUGUCAGGAUGGGCUCAGGGGGUGGAAAGCACUGCCCCCUUCUACCACCAUGGGUGCCCUUCGACAGGCCUCUCUGCUGCCACCAACCUUCUUCAUCCUGCUGGAACAUGUAACUUAUUUUUCCCUCCUUGCCCCACUCUUCUUUCCCCUCUCUGAUCAGAUUGAAUAUUUUCUAAAAAUGGAGAAACAACUAUCAUUUCGCUGUUCCUGUUGCCCUACGUGCAGCUUGAAACCAGUGCUUAGAACUCAGGCUAAUCAACUUAUAUUCCCCCUACACUCCAUCUUCAGGGAAGCAGAUUCGGGUUGGAAAAUAGGGGGACUUUUCUGACUAUCAGAGCUGUUUAAGAGCGGAACUGUCCACCUCACACAAUAGUAUGUUGUCCUUCACCAGAGGUUUUCGAACAGAGGCUGGACUCUGUCAGGGAUGCUGAUAGCAUCUGUAGCACAGGCUUCAGCUUUGUGGGAUCUCCUUUGCUUUUUACUAGAAUCCCAAAAUGAGCUGGAGCCAGGUGCAAAAUAGUGAUUAGGGGAUUGGGAGGUAGGCAGUGUCAGCCCAGACAUUUUGCUGUCUGAAGCAGAGUUCCAAAUGGUGCCCCUCCCGUUUUCCUUUGUUUCAGAUCUCUCUCACUUCCUUUUCUUUUAAGAAUGGGGAAAGGAAAGUCGUGUUGGUGCCACUUCUUUUUUCUUUCUCCACAGCCCUGCAUGGGAGUGGAUGGGCGGUGGAUGCCCCUGUUGGCGAGGAGUAAUAUCUUUUCGUAGGAUUUUAGGGUUGGAGGAUAUGUUCUAGUCCAAAACCUUCUGCUAUGAUAUCCCUGACAGAAGGCAGCCCAGCCACUAUUUGGAAACAUCUAGAAAAAGAGAGAUCACCAUUUGCCCCCAGAAGCAGCCCAUUUUGCUGUGCUUCAUGGUAGGGGCAGCCUUGCCAUGUGCUGCUGUUAAAUCUCAUCUACAGUAAAGUCCUGGAUUUCUCCAUUUUCUCCUUUCACUAGCUGACACAUUUACUCUUUUAAUGAGAAAAAUACACGCUGUGUUGUUGUAUAGCCAAACAAAGGAAUUGUAGAUAUACAAAGGUCCUUGCUUGCUUUUUAAAAAUCUCUGUGAAAAGAAUGAUCAGUCAAGUACUUUUUAUGUCAAUGGUGUCAUGCUUAGUCAUCUCUGGUUACUGUGUCAUAAAAGUCCUGUGUACACAGAGAUCUAGCUUUCUGAAGGACUGGGAGAUGUAUCAUAGAAUGAUGGUGGUGGGAAUUGUAGGUUAACCAAAUGGGCAGUAUUCCCACUGUGCUAGAGCUUCCCUAUGGUUAGAUCAGCAAUGCUGGCAGUAGUGUUACUUUCCUCAAACAGUGGCAGAAGAAAUCAUUGGAAGAACCUUCUUCACUGGCAUGGUAGAAAGAUUGCUUUUCCCCCUGUGGAAAAAAGAUCUGUACCAGACUUCGUCAUGUGCAAAGCAAGAUUGUUCUUUAGGAUUGAGAGCAAUCUCAGUUACCCCUGCUAACUGAGCAAAGAGGCACCUUUUUUUAAAUUUAUAUUUUUGUAAACCGCUUUGAGGACUUUUGUUGAAAAGCAGUAUAUAAAUAUUCAUCAUAUUCAUAUUGUCGUCCUGUUUUGGCUUUCUCUUUUCCUUUUAAAGUCAGAGAAAUUAGCACUCACCUUGGCUUUGUCUUGGCAGUGAGCAUCCAGCACUGAAAGAAAGGAAAGAAAGCUAGAGAACCAGGAUUCUCUUCAAGUCUCCUUGGACAAAGGUUAAAAGCCUGGGAAAACAGGAAUGUCUUGACGGUCUUUCUAAAAGCAAGCAGAGAAGGAGAUGUUCUUAUUUCAACGGGGAGUGUAUUCCAGAGCUAUGGAGAAGCCAAAGAGGAAACCUGAAAGCAUGACAUGCUGGACUUCCAUUCAAACCCCAAAGAGACUUCAAAUCGCCAGGUAGAUAUGAAAAGGACUCUCGGGAUCUUGGGUCUAGUUUCCCAUUCUGAAAGUAGAGAUGAAGAAGACUGAUGGUUUCAUGGAUUGGCUGAUGUCUCUGGAGAGUCUGUGAAGAUGGAUUGUCUACCAGGAUGGAUGAACUGAGUUUUCCAUCACUCCAACUUGGCUCUUCGUGGUGGCCCCGGCUCUACUCUCCUACCUUCUUCCAUGACAACAUCUUCCAUCAUCACAUUCCACUUCCGCCGUUCUUCUAGCCUCUACCUCACAACCUGCAGGUUGCCAUAGGGACCGUGACAAUUUUGCAUCAUAACUAUUCAGUUGUCCAUUCCUUAACCGAUUCUCCAGCAGUUGGCAUGCAGAUGCUAUUCUGCUGUCACUGGAGAGAAUAUCUGCACCAGUUGUCUUCUUUGGGUGUUUACUGUUACAUGGCAGAUGAGCCCGCUAACAUGCAACCAUCUACUGGCUCAAACUUGUCAACCUUGAGCUCUGCAAGGGAAGGAGAAGCUCAGUCACACAGCAUCUGCAAGACACCAGUGCUGACCAUCCACUCUGCUUCUCUGCAGUCUACAAGGCUCUGUCCUCAUUGAAUCCAUCCAAGGGAGGGCCAGCAGGGAUAGCAAUCCAGCACCUUCUCUCUAGCAGGGAGAUCUGUGGAGACUGCAGCAAGAGCUCCAUAUGCCCAGCUCAGUGGUGGCUUUCCACUACCAUCUCCCCAGGGCCUUUCUUUGGGCCACCGGCCUCCAGCCUGCCCACUGCCAGCACCAUGGCCCAGCUCUGUGGGCAUCCGUACAUCCAUGAGGCACCAAGCCUUCAUCCUGCCAAGAGCAGCCUACAGGGCAAGUGAAGAUCCAGCCAUCAUUUCAGGAUUUGAGGGGGGGCCUUUGUCUCCAAACAGGGAACACAAGCCUCCAAACCCCCAGCAGAAAGAAUCCCUCUGGUGCCGGUAGACAAGGCUGUCCCAGCCCCACCAGCAGCACCAAGGAGGAAUGUGCUUCUGCUCACCAACAGGAUGGAAUUCAAAUGUAGCAUCACACCUGCUGCAGCGGGGUGGGGGGAGGGUUCCUCCCAGCCCCACCUGCUCAAGGAAGACCAAGCCACAGAGCAUUCGCCGUGCCUCAAAAGAUUAGUGCUAGUGUUUGGGGAAAGGAUGUUCUCCAGCCUAAGGCUCCUUGGGGAUCUUGGUGCUCUACCAAAUGCUCUCCAGGGAGCUCUUUGUGAAGAAGAUCAGGAAGUAUCCCCAAAAGAGAUUGCCCACCAUUGCCACUCAUCCCCCUAGCCAUAGGGCAGCAUUUCUAGAGCUUACAGUGAAGUCCCACUUCAUAUAGGGUGAGACAACUUGCCAGGCCUGGCCAGCACGCCAGGGGAAUGGAGCAUGCAUCCCAAAACACACUCCGCAGUGCAGUGCGCAGGAGUUGCUCACCAGAUGAGUCUCAUCCAUUGUUAAAUGUCUUCCCCUCAUCAUGAAAUAUUUUUCUCACUAAAAUGUCCAUGAAAGUUUGAGACUUGCUCUGUCUUUGUCCAGUCAAGGGACUCUAGUUCUCUAGUCACUCACUCUCCUCCCUCCCUUCCAUGUAGGGACCCAGGAGGACCAUCUGCCACUUCCUCCUCAGACAGGGUCCAGCAACUACCAAGGGAGACAGCCUCUUGCCACCUGGUGAUCUAAAGGAGGCAACCAAAGGGAAUUCUUUGAAUGGGACCUUCGGAAGAGGAGCCCCUGGUGGCGCAGUGGUAAAACUGCCGCCCUGUAACCAGAAGGUUACAAGUUCGAUCCUGACCAGGGGCUCAAGGUUGACUCAGCCUUCCAUCCUUCCGAGGUCGGUAAAAUGAGUACCCAGAAUGUUGGGGGGCAAUAUGCUAAAUCAUUGUAAACCGCUUAGAGAGCUCCGGCUAUAAAGCGGUAUAUAAAUGUAAAUGCUAGUGCUAUUGCUAUAGCAAAUUUGUUUCCCCCAGUGGCGACAAAGGCUCAAAAGGAAGGUGCCAAACCAUCACUACAGCUCUGACUUCUUGUCUCCCCUCACCCCUCUUCCAGUACAUCGGAAGCUGAAGCUUUAGAGAUUUGGCUUUCAACUGGGAAUCUCCAGAAUACAAUACAUGUAUAUAUCUCUGUUUACCAGUUUGUGCUUGCUCUCAUUAAUUUUGCUUGUUUUGUUAAGAGUUGGAGACUUGUCUCCUUGCUGGCACUGCAUGUUUACAUAUCUUUAUUUAUUCAUUUGUGCUUCUUCUCACUACUUGGUUUAGUCCAUUUUGUUUUGAACCAUUGUCUAGCUGAGACUCCUCAGAACAGAAAUGUGUUUAUACAUCUCUAUUUAUGAAUGUAUGCUUUUUAAAAAUGUACAUAGGUUUUUGCUGUUUUAAAAAUAUAUACUUCUAAUAAAAA
Molecule: long non-coding RNA, 5402 nt
Organism: Hemicordylus capensis (graceful crag lizard)
Lineage: Eukaryota; Metazoa; Chordata; Lepidosauria; Squamata; Cordylidae
Exons: 3
Source: RefSeq, a predicted model, not a curated record